Mustela erminea (ermine) is the source of this 2327-nucleotide long non-coding RNA. RefSeq lists it as uncharacterized. NCBI's taxonomy places the organism in Eukaryota, Metazoa, Chordata, Mammalia, Carnivora, Mustelidae. The record is from RefSeq and is a predicted model, not a curated record. The transcript has 2 exons.
CUCCAUCUAAGGAAGGAAGGAAGACAGACAGCCCUCCCUGGAGUCAUUCCUGAGGCCAUAUCCAAACAGCACUUCCUGACUUUGAGACUCAAAACCACAUACAGAGAUCCAAGUGUGACUGCAGUCAUGGGGGAGACCUGUGGCCGGAAGCGCUCCCUCCCUCGCCCCCCCCCCCCCCCACACAUCACGAUGCUAGCGCACCGGAGCUAAAACUGGCUAGCAUGCGAAGCCUCCCUGCUCAACUCCCAAUGCCUACGGGCCACUGGGGACAAGUUCCACUACAACAAAUCGGACACUGAAAACCCAUGUGUGCCUCUCACGACAGGCUGCAAGCCCCAUGUUCCUGCACAGGGCAGGGAGCGAUAAAACCAAAUGGCAAAAGAACCAAAGGAAACAAGCAGAUUUUCCUCAGGUUCAUCCUGAAGGAAUGGCCCAAGGUUCUAAGAAAACAUUAUUUAAUGGUCGAAGCAGUGAGGGGACAGGGGAGCUCAGACCUCCCAAGGAGCAUGCAGAUGGGACACUAUCCAGCCUGGGCCGCCUCCGUGUGGAAGACCCCAGCACUAAUCUCCCUAACACCUGAACACUGAAAGUGCAGGCCAGGGUGCCCAGCACCCCAGAAAUCUCUCUCCUGCCCUGGCGAAGGCGGUGGUAAGCCUGGCAGUGCCCCCCACCUAGGGGUGCCCCCUGAAGGUACAGCUCCAUAAGCCAACACCUGCGCAGGGAUACUCCUGCAUGUGAUCUCUGAGCGUACAACUGCCCUUCGGGAGAGCCCAGCGCAUGGGCUCACCGCACCCUUGCAGGGUAGAGCGCCCGCCGGCAGGCAAGACACACACCCGCAACGGCCACCAAACGGCGUGAGCGCCACAACACUGGCGCCACAGCCACUGACAGAAGAACAGGGAGAGAGAUAAGUGAGUACAUGUAUUUGCUCAGUUCUGCAGAGAAAUGCAAUGAAAGCAGGCAAGGACAGACCCAUAGUUGUAAAAGUGACUGCCUCUGGGCACAGACAGCAGCCUGCAGACGGGCAAAAGUGGGGCUUUCUGAAGGCACCUUCCAGACAGUUUCGACUUCUGAACCAUAUAGGUGUUUACAUAUUUUAAAAACAUAUUAAAUCAAAAAUUAAAAAAUUAAAAAGCAAACGCUAAAACUGAAAACAGACAGCAGUAAAGAGGACCCUUUGUCAGAGUCACAACAGAAGCACACAAGGAGCCUGAAUUCCAGUGACUUCAAAUCCUUAGUGAGCAGACAUCCUUAGUGGGUGGGUACACUCUCAGAGCAAAAAUAAACGCAAAGAAAUUAAAUUUCAAUCACUAGUUUACUGUUAGACUAUCAGUAGUAUAGGAAAGUAUUUGAGGUCUCCUGUGCAAGUAAGUAGUAAGUAAGUAAGUAAGAGUGCAAGUAAGUAAUAAGAUAGAACAAACAUAGUAAGAAACCAAAUGUUCAGCUCAAGAAAAAAGAUAUACAGUGUAAGGUCAAACAAAUUCAUGGAUUUUCAUUUAGAAAUACUCAUGAUUUUUUAAAGCUAUCUUCCCCAGUCUGUCUACAGAAAAGCAAUUACAAUCCAGGAGCACGACCAACACCCCCCGCACCCAGAUGCUGGUUUCCAUAUACCAAUCCCCAAAUAAGGAAGCCAGGUUACUUGGAGAAAUGAAGGAUUCCAGAUCUGGGGCAAAGAAAGGUGGCCCGGGACAUUCUGCAUUCUGUCGUGCCAAAAAGCAAGAAAGCAUCCCAAGGCCAAUAAGGGCCUUGUCAAGGACCAAGGGCAGCAUGUGGGGGCUCUGAGGGGCCGAGCCUGAAGCACCUGAGCAUCAAAAGCAACAAGGACUAGAGAUGACUUUAAUUUGUGAACAAAAAUCUGAGUCUAUACACAAGAAAAAUGGAAAACUAACAAAGUGACAGGAGUGGUUCCAGUGGCAGAAGAGAGGGACCAGAGUGUGCGGGCACUGAGGACCCUUCCACUGGCUCAGUCCCGCGCCACGCAUACCCUGGGGACAGAACCGCUGUGCAGAGAUGUGGUUCUCUGUGCCUUCAUGUUGCUUAAAACAGAGAAAAACUGGAAAUCACCCAAAUACCUAACAAAAGAAGAGUGGUUCUACAAAAUAUAACAUAUUCACAUAACAGAGUAGAGCCGGAGCGUGGUGGGAUAAAUGCACACUACUGACAAGGAAAAAUUUUUAUGACAUUCUGUUGCUAGCUGAAAAAUCCAAAUCGUAGCAACAGCAUGUAGAGAUGGAGAUUUUCGUUUUUAAAACAUGUAUGUGUAUUUGUAAAAAUUACACACAAAGACUACUAUAAUGAUAUACACUAAAACAAAUCUUUUGGUGGUG